GAUGAAGAACGUAGUGAAAUGCGAUAAGUAAUGUGAAUUGCAGAAUUCAGUGAAUCAUCGAAUCUUUGAACGCACAUUGCGCCCUCUGGUAUUCCGGGGGGCAUGCCUGUUCGAGCGUCAUUAUAACCACUCAAGCUCUCGCUUGGUAUUGGGGUUCGCGGUUUCGCGGCCCCUAAAAUCAGUGGCGGUGCCUGUCGGCUCUACGCGUAGUAAUACUCCUCGCGAUUGAGUCCGGUAGGUCUACUUGCCAGCAACCCCUAAUUUUUUUAAGGUUGACCUCGGAUCAGGUAGGGAUACCCGCUGAACUUAAGCAUAUCAAUAAGCGGAGGA
Molecule: unclassified non-coding RNA, 330 nt
Filed under: soil metagenome
Description: partial contains 5.8S ribosomal RNA, internal transcribed spacer 2, and large subunit ribosomal RNA
Rfam family: 5.8S ribosomal RNA (bases 1-120)
Source: RNAcentral